Molecule: long non-coding RNA, 526 nt
Filed under: Panax ginseng (ginseng)
Lineage: Eukaryota; Viridiplantae; Streptophyta; Magnoliopsida; Apiales; Araliaceae
Description: long non-coding RNA (PGIN_LNC001728)
Source: RNAcentral
AUUCAUAAUAUUUGAAUAAUAUUAUUAGAUAGCAUUAUUAGCAAUAUCUAGAAAGUUCUGUCAAGGAAGGUUUGGUCACCUAAUUACGCGCCAGUAAGGAGAAAUCCUUAUUGGAAAGCCCCCUCUUUCCUAGAAAACGGCCUGAUUGUCAUAAUUAUGAUUCUGUAAUAUUAUUUAUAAAUAAUUAAUUAUUAAUUUAUAUGAUAAGGAAAUAUAUUUUUUAUAUGGUUAUAAAUGAAGAAAUUAAUGCUGAGGUGUUUUAUUAGUAUUUUGCCGAAAUGAAGAACGAAAUUUGGAAAUUUUCAGAAAAUUAGUUUAUUACUUGAUUUUGUAAAAUCUAUAACUCUUUGUAUAUAAUGAGUUAGGAGAUGAUCCAUGUAUAAAAAGAAAGCCCUGGAGGUAAGCUAAAUGUAGAAAUUUGAAUCACCCAAAAAAUUCAUUGUGGAUUUUUCGUGGUGACUGUUUGAAUGAAACUGGUCCGAAGGACUCAUAAUUCGAAAAAUCAGUGUUCUUAAGUUAUAUUGCG